Non-coding RNA from Triticum aestivum (bread wheat), 115 nucleotides. NCBI's taxonomy places the organism in Eukaryota, Viridiplantae, Streptophyta, Magnoliopsida, Poales, Poaceae. The record is from Rfam.
CAAGUACUCCCUCCGUUCGGAAUUACUUAUCUCAGAAAUGGAUGUAUCUAGAACUAAAAUACGUCUAGAUACAUCCAUUUUUGCGACAAGUAAUUCCAAACGGAGGGAGUAGCAA